This is a long non-coding RNA of Taeniopygia guttata (zebra finch), 7850 nucleotides long. Lineage: Eukaryota; Metazoa; Chordata; Aves; Passeriformes; Estrildidae. The record is from Ensembl.
UUUUUUUAUUUUUUUUUAUUUACAGAACAGAGAUUAUUCUAGAUAGCAAUUUUGCCAGAGUACUAAGAAACUCUACUACCUCAGUCACUCUUGCCCCUGCCAAAAGUACUCCCAAGCUCCUUCUGAUAGUCCUUGGAUGCUUCAUAUUGCAGUACCAGCAGCUGCUGUGCUCCCCAGCUGCUUGUCUACAUAUAAGAAAAGCAGGUAACAUUUGCUGAGCCUAGCUAGGGAGUAAGAGUUUGUCAGCUGUCCAGUAUGAACAAAAUCUCAUGGAGCAGUUGUCUGCUGCUGCUGCCUCUCAGAUUGAAUCUCUUUCAUUAGCAGGGAACUGAAGAUGAGAAUAUUAUUAUUUUUGAGGGGUUACAUUGUAGAAAUUAGCUUGAUGACUGACUUUCAAAAAAAGUUCCUUCAGGGAGGUAAACUGGAAAAGACUACACAUAGAAAAUUCAGUGAGUGACAGAAACUGAUUCUCUUGAGAAUCUUAAUCAAAGCAAAAAACCUCCCAAAUUAGCUGACAAAAAAAGGCCUGUGAAUUAAGAGUACGUUCUCAGCACCUGCAAUUAUUUUCUCACAACAGCCUACAAAACCAGUCAUUUUAUGCAUGAAAAUCAAGUAGUCAAACAGUUUUAAUGUUUGACUACUAGAUUUGUUAAUUGUGAUAAACUAAUUGAUAAUUUAUUAAGAAAAGCAAGACAAAAUAAUAUUCAAUACGAAGAGCACUGAAAUUCUUCUUCAAUAUAAGUUCGAUCAUGCCACAAGUAGUUACUGUUAAAAAACACUUUUAAACUAAAUUUUAAGUUGCUGUAGAAGUGGUGCAAUGUCAAAAUUUUAUGUAAUAGUAAAUGAAGUCCAUGUAAGUUCUGCAUAAUAGAAAGGACGUCUUAAAUAAUACUUCAUAUUUAUCUACAAAUAAAGCACUAUUUCUGAACAGCCAACUAAUAAAAAUUUUAAAAAAUGAUAGUUAUGUUUUGGAUGAACAAAAAUUCAUUUAACUAUUUUAAUAUUUCUUUUCCAAAGCUACUUUCUAUUAGCCACUCUGUAGAGUACAAACACAACUAUAAUAUGCUAAAAAUAUAUACCUUGAACAUGCAUAUCUUAGCAAAGUUUUUCACUAUGUUAAAAAGUAGUAACGAAUUUUCCUGUUUAAUUGGCAUUUUUAGAAUGAGUACUAAAAGAAUAAGUACUAAAGUUAAAGAGGACACAAUCUUAAUUUUAUCUGUUUUGAAGAAAAUUAUCUUCUGGUGAAGUUAUCUGACAUUGAGGGAACCUACUGAUUUGGAAGAGCAACUUCCAAAUUACUCAGGAUGUGUAGUCUCACAGAACAGCUCCCAGGGGACAUUACUGUGUGGUAAGUGGUAGAGUUUGACAGGAUUUCAAGAUAGGACACCAAGCCCACUAUUCUACUUGCCAUGACAAAUCUGUCCUCUAUCCAUCAGCUAAUGGGGACAAUUUUUAUUGCUGAAUACCUUGUCUUCUACAACAAAGCAAUUAGGAAUUACCAGAACACCUGUAUUUUAUAGCAUUCCAUCUGAUGCAAGUACCAGCACAACUUGGUAUUUGGCCCUAACUGCAGCUACUUCUAAUUGAGAUAAUUGCUCAGUAAACCAAAGAAGCCUAGUGAAGCAAAUAAUUAAGUGUCACAAACUGCUGUGCUAAAUCUUUUUUUUUUUUCACCCUCACUAAGUAACUCAACCUAAGUCUUCUUCUACAUGAAACGGGAAAAUGACAAAUUGUUUUAUGUCUCUAUAUUAUCCAAAAAAACUUUUUUUCUUUACAAAACUUUGAAACAUGAAAUUGUUUAUAAGUACAAAGGAGCAGAAUACUUUGCUCCAAAAGAGGUCAACCUGAGUGAACAUUUCAAAGCUAAUCAGUGCAAAGUCUUUCCAUUUAAACACUUAACGGUGUAGGAAGACUUCAGACUCCAUCAUAAAUUUUCCAAAAUAAAAAUGUACAAAUUUCAGUUGAACACAAGGACAUGAUUUUUAAAUAUAAAUAUUUUAAGCAAUUGCGCACUGUUUAGGAUUUUUGAAAAUCAGUACUGCAGAUAUUCAUGUUGAUAAGUGAAAAGCUGAAAUCUCAAAGUGAUUUUCCUUUUUGAUAUAUAGGCUUUUGGGAAAGAAAAGAAAUAUUACAAGAAGUGAUUCACCUUCUCCUAAAAUAGUUUGCAAAGAGAACUGACAUGAAAGCUCUUGAGAGGUGUCCAUUUCUUUCCUUUAAAAGAGGGAGUCCUAAUUCCCUAGAUUAGAUUUGUGUUACUUUUCAAGAUAAGACUCCCUUUAAGAUUAAGAAAUUUAGAUGAAGAUACCUGCAGAUACAGACUGUCUAAAUGUUCUUUAUAGUCAACAGAGAUCUAAUCCACAUUCAGCAGAAUGAACGAGCUUACCAUAAAAUUAACACUGAAGACACAGUUCAAGUUACAUAAAUGCAAGUAAUUACUUUCAUAAAAACCAGAGUCAACAAUGAGUUCUGUCCCAAUCGCUGAGGACAUUUUCCCCUUAGGUCUUGAAAACUCCCAAAGACAAAGAUUCUAAAACUCCUUUUUUUCAGGACUAUUUUCAUCAUAACACUUAUUUUAUUCAUCUGGAACUUCCUUUGUUUCCCAUUACGACCAUUUGCUUUCCUUCCUAUUGUUUCCCUCAAUAAAGAUCCCAUCUCUAUCUUACUGGAAAUGUCCCUGUAUGGGAUUAAGAGCCUGCUGCCAGAUCCCCUUGAAGCCAUCUCUUCUGAAAGGCUGAGGAAGCCCAGUUGCCUCAGCCUCUCCUUACAGGGUAAGUGGAGCAGAUUGGCAGCUCUACAACCAAACUCAUUCCAGUCUGUUAAUGUCUUCCUCAUGAUAAGGGAGUAAAAAUUUGAUGCAGUAUUCCUAUAGGAAAGUGAAUAAACACUAAGUAAAGGGAGCAGGAGUGGAAAAUUACUUCCUUAACUGACUGACUAUGCUCCUUUUGACAGGCCCACUGGGCCAUUAGACCUCAUCAUCACCAUGCACACUGCUGGCUCAUGUUCUGCUGCCUGCCUGCCAGGACACCAGCUCUCUUUCAGCAAAGCUGCAGCCCAACCAGCCAGACCCUACACUAAACUGGGAAAGGGAUUUAAGUUUAUCACAGGUGAGAAAUUUAAUAUUUGUCCUUAUUUACAUUUUUGGCUAUUUGUCCAGUAUCAAAGCCACCUAAAUAGCAACUUAAGCAAAAAUAAUGUCCCCUGGUUGGUGUCAUCACUCCUGUAUGUGUUAAAAUGGGAGUGGUGAAAUAUUGGCUGUCAUAUCCCCUGAAGCCUCAUGGCCCUACCUGGUAAUGAGUUCAUGGCCACACUGUUGUAUCACCUUUCCCAGCUGGGAGUGUUACGCUCACUGCUGAAAUAACCGUAUCCAACCUAUUUUACUUCCUAUGGAAAGUAGAAUGGAAGCAAAAUACGUAUAUACAAUAUUCUAACACAACAUGGCAUUGUAAUUUUUUGCAUUUUGAACAGAAGGGUGAAAUGGUGGAACUGCUGGCCCCUGACCGUGAGUCGGAAGUGUGCACAGGUAAACAAGCAGGCCAAUUGUAUUCUUGCCUGUAUCAGGAAUAGUGGGCCAGCAGGACUAAAGGAGUGCUUCUCCCCUGUAGUCAGCACAGGCAAGGCCACACCUCGAGUGCCAGUUCUGGGUCCCUCACUUCAAGAAGGACACUGAGGUGCUGGAGUGACUCCUGAAAAGGGCAAUGGAGCUGGUGAAGAGAGUGGAGCAUAUGUCCUGUGAGAAGCAGUUGAGGGAGCUGGGGUUGUUUAGGCUGGAGAAAAAAGAAAGCUCAGGUGACAUUAUUGCUCUCCAAAUGUUUGAAAGGAGGUUGUAGCCAGGUAGGGGAUGAGUCUCUCCUCCCAGGGAACAGAGCAAGAGGACAUGGUCUUAAAGCUGCACCAUGGGAGGUUGGACACUAGAAAAAAAUUCUUUGCAAAAAAGCUGAUCAGGCACUGGAAGAGGCACUGAGGGAGGUGACAGAACCACUGCCCCUGAAACUGUUUAAAGAAAGAACCGAUGUGGCACUUAGUGCCAUGAUCUAGUUGACAAGGUGGCAUUAAAAGAUUGGACUCUUAUCUCAGAGAUCUUUUCCAACCUAAUUGAUUCUGUCCAUCUGUGUUAUUUUAUGUAAAUUUUCACACCAGUUUACACAAGGAGAAGCAUCCUUCUGUGGCAAAUAUUCUCCAAAUGAUAUAAAUGUUUAUGGACUUCAUCCAGAUGAUCUGAGUUGUUUAAUUAAAGAAUCAUAUGAAAGAAGUAGCAGAAUAAGACUACAAAAAUCACAUCUACUAAGUCAUCACAUCAAUAUAUUUUUAUAUUAAUCUUCUCAUUUAUUAGCAUUGCACAAGCAAUCAGAGAAAAUACUGUAAAGUCAUUCCUACAACAAGAUAACUAAUAUAUGGUAACUUUUAAAUCCUUGUGAGAAAAGAAUUCAAAAACCUACAUAAGUCUUCUAACAAGAUUUUUCUUUUAUCUCUUUUGUUUUCUUGAACAGUUGGGGAAGCAUCUUUAGUAUAAUACCUCCCUUUAUGCUGCAAUUAACAAUAUAUCUUUUGUGGUAUUUUAAAUAUGAGGAUUAGCCAGACAGGAGUGAAAAAAUUACAGUCUUAAGGAGAAAAAAAUUUUGCAUUAGUAGGCACAAUUUCUACCCACACAACCUACAUAUACUUAAAUGCAUCCAUAUGAAUAGCUCCUUAAGAAAAAAAACUUGCCAAUUAAGAGUGUAAAUUUCAAAAAAGCUAAAUACAGUACUAACCAUUAUUCCCCAGGAGAAUUUCUACUAGCAUCAGUGUGUGUUAAGAUCUAGCUAACACUGGUUUUAAAAACUUAAUAAUUAAUUGAUCAACUUAGAAACAAUGCAAUUUUUCUUAAUUUAUUGCCACAUCUGAAGUAUAGUGAAUAAAGCAAGAUUAAUGACUCAGGAAAAGGUUAUGCUGGUCUUGGCUGAGAUAGUUUAAUAGGUACUAAGAUACUAUGAUGAAAAUGAACUCUCAACCAACCCAGUUGUCUCACUUUCCACCUUCCCAUUGUCUGCCCAUCCCCUCAUGGCGUUGAAAGAGGAUUUAACAUCUUUUUUCUUGGAGUCAUAUUUUUGUGCUUUUGAAAAUUUUGAUUUCAUGUUCUGUCUGAAAUGAAAGAGUCUAUUUCAGCUUAUGUUUCCUAUUGCAGCUCCAUACACAUACAAUUUUUAGAACAGCAGCAGCUCUUUAAUGACAGUUCAAGAAUGAAGGUAAAAAAAAAAUUAACUGUCACACUACUGAAUAAGGAACUUCAUAGCUAUAUGUAAGAUAAAAGUGAAUGAUGCUUAUUCUUUCUGCCUGGAGCAGAUGUGUGAAAGGUAAUUUUAAUUCCUUUUCAUACUAUUAUUUUUUUACAUAUAUAAAGACUAUCAACUCUAACUCUUGUUGAGAUUUGAGAAUUAUUUCCUUUCAAAGUUUCAGUUAAGUCAUCUUGCUCUCUCAUUAUUUCUGCUGCUGUUCUGUGGAAAUUCUUUGUCUACAUGUUUCUGGAAUUUUGCUGCCUAGAGUAAGAUGCAAGCCUCUAGCAGGAAGAUAGAGAAGAGUAUUUCAGAAUUCUUAAACUUAUUCUCCCUCUAACUGUAGCACUGAUUCUUCCCCUCAGUAGAAUAAUGCUCACUCGUGAUCCAUUACAAGCUUUCAAACUGUCUCCUAGGGUAACGCUUUCUACCCGGUCUCUCCUGAAAUGUGUAGCAUACAUGCAAAUAUUCCAACUCUAUAAAGUAAAAAAGUUUGUCACUCCUUUUCUGACUGCCAUCCUAUUUGUUCAGAGAGUUUAUUUUUAUUCAGAUAAUUUCCCCUGUAUAUGCUUAUACUGUUAUAUCCUGGUCAUAGAGCUACUUUAAUGCAAUUUGCAAUGAAAUGGUACCUGUUUCUUCCUCCGGCUGCUUCCAAACGCUUUGAAUAAUUCUUAGUCCAGAGCAGAGAUAUUUUUGGAUUUCACUCAGCCCAUCACUUCAUUUGAUGGCAAAUCACUUUGCUGAUUUAAAAACUGUCUGCCACUCACCUAACAGUAUUUUUAUAUAGCUCCUGGUGCUCAGUAUCUACAACUCAUCCAACAGACUGCAAUCUACUUGUUCUGAAAAAGUAGAACAGAGAUACAACACAUCUCAAAAUGGAACACUGCCUGAAAAUUAGGCAUGAUCUUUGUAUUUCAAGAGCAAUCUCCCACCAGAAGACGCAUUCUGCUAUUCCCUGGUGUUUUGAUGCUGCUGUGCAAGCUCCUGAAGAAAGAAGGAAAAUUCACCAUCUGUUUAAUUGGUUUCUGGCUUGUUCAAUUGUAAAAGGGAACCCAGGAAAAGUCCACUUACAUGUCAGAAUGAGAACUGUACAUCAACAGUUACACAAGAGCCUCUUUGUAUCAUUCAAAUCAUAAAGGCCUCUAAGUCUUUCCAUAGUUUGUUCUGAAUUUUUAACUUCAGGGAAAGAAAUUGUACUACUAUGUGGAGUAUUUUGCUUGGGUCCCCACAGAAGAUUAGAUUACUCUAACUUCAGUCUCAGUAGCCUCUCAGUAAAAGAGGAGUUGCAAUCAAUGCCAUAUUAAGUUUAGCAUUCACAAAGUAUAGCAGCCAACCUACCUAAUUACAAGUUAAAAUUUUUAACUCCUGCCAUUCCAAACACACUUUAAAAAAAAAAUAAAGUUUGGAUGAGUAAUUAAGUAAAUUUGCAGGCACACUUUAUGAUUAUAUGAAUAUACAUGAAGGUCUGAAGAACAAUAAGUGAAGAAAUAGAGUUUAAUCAAAACUCAAAGUCUUUUUGCAACAAGAACAUAGUUCAAAAUAUCAGAAUUAAUUUCUUUAUUAAUGUCACAAUGCAUAUGUGUUUUUAUAACUCAAUCCUGGCUUUCUACUUUUUGUGUGCAAGAGAAGUAACAGAAGGCAGGCAUAAAUUUCCAUGUAUUUUGGUGUUAUUUCCUAAGUUCUCUAAAUAUAAGGAGUAAUAUAAUAUUCCCUCUAACAUGUUUCAGUAUAAAUGCAAUUAUCAGACAGGUUUCAUAGUAUAAUGUAUCAAAUAAUAUAACAACCAAAUUUAAUUAUAUGAUACAGUACUUUAAAAGAUUUUCAGUUUUAUGUUUUAGCUAGGGGUUGAACACCCAACUAGUGAUCAUAAAACUGUGCUGAGUUAUGCAUUUUUAAUAAUUUAGGCCUGUGUUUAUAAUCUGAAGGGGUGUCAUUUAUCCAUUUAAACACUCAUUUUAACUAAUGACCCAUGCAAUUGCUUACAGCAAGAGUCUUUACCUCCAUGUUUGUCUUUUCAAUAUUUCUUACAACAGAAGUAACCAGGAGAAGGAAUGUGAAUGUUAAGAUUAAAGUAACUCCUGCACUAUAGGUAGACACUACAUAUUGAUGUGGUUCAACCCUAAAGAUACCUAAAACUAAGUAUAGUAAGCUUAUAAAAACAAUAAAGCUUUAUAGAAUUUUGUACAAAAUUGAAAUAAAAAUUCAGUUUAUGUAAGAUUUCAAGGUAUACAGAAAUGUGUCCUUACAGGCAACUAUUACUUAUUAGGUGCCUUGAAAGGAAAAUGUUCAAAUGAGCUCUGAUAAUAAACACUAAUUUUUUCUUGGAUAUUAAGACAUCAAAAUGAAGUCAGCUGAGGUCAUCAGGAACAAAUAAGUCAAAACUAAAAAAUAAUCUAGGAAAUGGAGUCUUUAUGUAUGACCAUUAGCAAAAACAAAACAGAAGGGUUGAAGGAAGUGACCGCAUGAGAUGGGAGAAGCCUGUAAUCAUUUAAUCAUUUAGGAGCAAUGUCCACUAGAUUUUUCCAGUCGACAUUCAGAAGGCUAUGGUGUGCCAUUUAAAAUGUGGUAGCAAAAAAAAAAAAAAAAAAAAAAAAAAAAAAA